Molecule: transfer RNA, 88 nt
Filed under: Actinopolyspora saharensis
Lineage: Bacteria; Bacillati; Actinomycetota; Actinomycetes; Actinopolysporales; Actinopolysporaceae
Description: tRNA_Ser_TGA
Rfam family: tRNA
About the family: Transfer RNA (tRNA) molecules are approximately 80 nucleotides in length. Their secondary structure includes four short double-helical elements and three loops (D, anti-codon, and T loops).
Source: RNAcentral
GGAAGCGUGGCAGAGCGGCCUAAUGCACUCGCCUUGAAAGCGAGCGGUCCGAGAGGGCCCGCGGGUUCGAAUCCCGCCGCUUCCGCCG